UAGGAGUUCGAGUUAGGAGUUCGAUUUCAGCCCGAUUUCAGCCCUCUGCCCCUCUCUACGCAGCAGUCAAUUUGAGCUUGAUUGGAAGUCGAUUCGGAACAGGCCAUUUGAACUUCUGAAGGUAACAAUGAGUUCUAGUACUACUACUAGUGGGACAACAAAGAAAGAUCAUGCUUGGAAAUGGACUAAACCAAUUCCGGGGGAGUUGAAGUACUUUUUGUGUGCGUUUUGUGAUCAAAAAAAUACCGGUGGCAUUUUCAGAUUCAAGCAGCAUUUAGUUGGCACCCAUAAAGGAAUCAAAGCUUGUCGAAAAGUCCCACCAAAUGUGAAGGAUUGGUGCACUUUAGCACUUAAAAGAAAUGAAGAAGAGAAACAAGCAAGGAUUACGGUGCGUAGGGAGAUAGGGGGAUUGGAGCCACUAGAAGAGGAAGAUGCACCUGUUCAAGCAGUGGAAAAUGUGGCUGCAAGUGAGAGUGGUAGUGCUCAAACUCCACUUGGUGGUGGUUCUACGAGUCAACCGAAGUCAAGAGGACCGAUGGACAAGUUUGUGUCCUCAAAAGCUCGGCAAGCUACAUUGAAUUCUUCAUUCAAGAAAGAAGAAAGACGUAAUGUGUGUAGGGCGAUUGGGCGGUUGUUCUAUACUAGUGCCAUAGCAUUCAAUGUGGCAAAUAAUCCUUAUUAUUUUGCGGCAUUGGAGCAAGUUUCCAAGUACGGCCCCGGUUUUCAACCUCCAACUAGUCAUGAGCUAAGGACUUGGAUUUUGAAGGAAGAAGUUGUAGAUGUUCAAAAAAUGAUGUUAGAGCACAAAAAAGAUUGGAGCCAUUAUGGAUGCACAAUUAUGUCGGAUGGUUGGACGGAUGGAAAAAGUAGGGUUAUACUAAAUUUUUUAGUAAAUAGCCCUAGAGGUACAUGGUUUUUGAAAUCAGUUGAUGCAUCGGAUACAAUUAAAAAUGGGGAGUUGAUGCUCAAUUAUUUGGAUAGUGUUGUGGAGGAGGUAGGGGAGGAGAAUGUGGUCCAAAUAGUUACCGACAAUGCUUCUAAUUAUAAGUGGGCGGGAAAGGAACUUAUGAAGCAUAGAAGCAAAUUGUGGUGAACUCCAUGUGCGGCUCAUUGCAUUGACUUGAUGUUGGAGGAUAUAAGCAAGUUGAAAGUCUUUGAAACUACCAUUCAAAGAGCUAAGCAAAUUGUGAAGUUUAUUUAUGGGCAUACACAAGUUCUUUCCAUUAUGAGAAAAUUCACCGAGAACAAGGAGAUUAUUCGUCCGGCGGUUACAAGAUUGGAAUGAAUGUGGAUGCACAAAACAUAAAGAUGCAAAUGAUGUGAGGAAGUGGAUACUUCAUGAUGGAAAUUUUUGGAAUCAUGUUGCUUAUUGCAUAAAAAGUGUUCUACCACUUGUUUGUGUUUUGAGAGAGGUUGAUUCGGAAGUGAGACCUGCUAUGGGAUUUAUCUAUGAGUUGAUGGAUGCUGCAAAAGAAAAGAUAGCUAAGAAUCUUGGAAAUGUGGAACCAAAGUAUGGUCCAAUUUGGAGGAGAAUAGAUAAUAGAUGGAGUCCACAACUUCAUCAACCAUUGCAUGCAGCGGGUUAUUACUUGAACCCUCAAUUUCGGUAUGAAGAAAACUUUUCAAAUACCGAGCAUGUGAAGCAGGGUUUGGAAGAGUGCAUGGAUAGGAUGCUAGUUGGUGAGGAUCGUAUUAAAGCGGAGAUACAAUUAGACUUAUAUGAGCGAAAGCUCGGUAAGUUUGGAAGUGAAAUGGCCUUGUCUACUAGGAAGAAGCGAUCACCCGUGUUUUGGUGGGAAAAAUAUGGGACACAGACACCGGAGUUGAUGACUUUUGCUAUUCGGGUCCUUUCCCUUACUUGUAGUGCAUCGGGGUGUGAAAGGAAUUGGAGCACUUUUGAAAUGGUAAGUUUUUUAUCACUUCUAAGUUGAAUUGUUAAUGCUAAUAGUUGCUAGCCUAUUGAAUUGUUGCAUUUUGUAUGUUGAUUGUUGAUUGUAGAUUCAUACCAAAAAGAGGAAUAGGCUUGAGCAUAAGAGGUUGCAUGCUUUGGUCUAUGUGAAAUACAAUGUUGCUCUAAGAGAUAGGACUAAGAAAAGAAAUGCCACAAUGAUCGAUCCUAUUGUUGUGGAAGAAAUUGAAUCCGAUGAUGAAUGGAUAACGGAGAUAGAGGAUCCGGUUCUUCCUACUGAUCCUAAUUGGCUUGAGGAUAGAAUAGAAGAUCUAACAUUGAAUGAUGAGGCGGUAAGGAAUGUGCCAAUUGGUACAUACCAAAGUACCCUAAUAGAUAGAGAGCCUACUCCUCGUGAGGCUUCUCCUCCUCGUGAGCCUACUCCUCCUCCCCGUGAGCCUACUCCUACCCGUGAGCCUACUCUUUCUCUUGACGAGCCUAUUGUUUUAUACAAAAGGAAAUCUAGUCAAGCACCAAGUUCAAGUAGAAGAAAGCUUCCAAGGAAAUCAAUGCGUCUUGAAGACAUUGCGGAUGAUGAUAUUAGAACUAAUCCAUAUGAAGAUACUAAUCCUCUCUUUGAGUACCAAGAUGAUGAUAGUGAUGGUGUUGAUAGUGAUGGUGGUGAUAGUUUGGAUGGUGAUCUUCUAGUUGAUGAGGAUGAUGAUUUCCAAGCAUGAAGUAGAUUUCAACAUUUGUUCUUGAUCUUUGGUGUUUGAAGUUUGAACUUUAAAUCCUUGAUUUCAUUUUAUGUUGGUAA
This is an RNA transcript of Rosa chinensis, 2705 nucleotides long. RefSeq lists it as uncharacterized. The record is from RefSeq and is a predicted model, not a curated record. NCBI's taxonomy places the organism in Eukaryota, Viridiplantae, Streptophyta, Magnoliopsida, Rosales, Rosaceae. The transcript is spliced from 5 exons.